Triticum aestivum (bread wheat) is the source of this 136-nucleotide non-coding RNA. Lineage: Eukaryota; Viridiplantae; Streptophyta; Magnoliopsida; Poales; Poaceae. The record is from Rfam.
CAAGUACUCCCUCCGACUCAAAAAACUUGUCUUACAUUUGUCCUAAAUACGGAUGUAUCUAGACAAAUUUUAAUGUUAGAUACAUCCAAAUCUAGAUAAAUGUAAGACAACUUUUUCGGGGCAGAAGUAAUAUCUA